CAGUGGACACACAGUUUAACAUGAUGGACUAUAGGACAGGACUGCUGCUGUUAACUAUCUGCUGGGCAGGUGUUGAUGGUCAGACUCUGACAGAAUCUGAAUCAGUGGUUAAAAGGCCUGGAGAAUCUCACAGAUUGACCUGUACAGCCUCUGGAUUCACAUUUAGUGACUACGAGAUGAACUGGGUCAGACAGGCUCCUGGAAAAGGACUGGAGUGGGUUUCUCUUCUCAGCAAACCUAGUGGUAGCACCAAAUACUACUCUCAGUCAGUUCAAGGCCGGUUUACCAUCUCCAGAGACAACAGCAGACAGCAGGUGUAUCUGCAGAUGAACAGUCUGAAGACUGAAGAUUCUGCUGUUUAUUAUUGUGCUCGAGACUCACAGUGACUGGAGUUGGUUGAGCAGCUGUACAAAAUCCUACAGUACUCAUCUUUAUAACAGAGCUUCAUUAAAACCACUCCUCAGAGAAAAUGAACAGCAUUUGUGUGGUUAUGCUUUACAAGUCUCAUUUAGUUUGGAGAGCAGGUGAAAAUGAUAUGCAGAGUCAUGCAGACUUUGAAUUGAGAUAAUUAAAAAAAAAAAAAAAGAAAAUUAUGUUUUGUUUCCUCUUGUGACAUAAAAACAUCACAUUCAUACUGUAUUUGACAGAUAAGCCAGCAGACAUUUUCCAGAGUAUUUUGUACAUCAUCACACACAUUUCUGUUUAUAACUAGUUCAUUUCCAUUUGAGGCUCCAAGUUUCUCUGUAUGUCUGUGACUUCAAACAGCCAUAAUUUGGAUGCUGAAUUCUUUAAAAGUUAAAAACAAGCAAAACAUAACAUAA
This is a non-coding RNA of Dicentrarchus labrax (European seabass), 821 nucleotides long. Lineage: Eukaryota; Metazoa; Chordata; Actinopteri; Moronidae. The record is from the annotation of a RefSeq genome assembly.